Molecule: ribosomal RNA, 419 nt
Filed under: uncultured eukaryote
Lineage: Eukaryota
Description: bacterial SSU rRNA
Rfam family: Eukaryotic small subunit ribosomal RNA
Source: RNAcentral
CAAUAGCGUAUAUUAAAGUUGUUGCAGUUAAAAAGCUCGUAGUCGGAUUUCAGAUUGUGGUGAGCGGUCCGCCGAGAGGUGAGCACUGCACGCUGCUUUCUUACCGCUCGAAGACUGCGUGCGCUCUUAACUGGGCGGGCGUGGGAUUCGGGACUUUUACUUUGAAAAAUUAGAGUGUUCAAAGCAGGCUCGCGCUUGAAUACAUUAGCAUGGAAUAAUGGAAUAGGACUUUGGUUCUAUUUUGUUGGUUUCUAGGACCGAAGUAAUGAUUAAUAGGGAUAGUUGGGGGCAUUAGUAUUUAAUUGUCAGAGGUGAAAUUCUUGGAUUUAUGAAAGACUAACUUCUGCGAAAGCAUUUGCCAAGGAUGUUUUCAUUGAUCAAGAACGAAAGUUAGGGGAUCGAAGAUGAUCAGAUACCAU